RNAcentral lists this ribosomal RNA (251 nucleotides) under uncultured bacterium. RNAcentral's name for it is "partial 16S ribosomal RNA". It matches the Rfam family "Bacterial small subunit ribosomal RNA", at positions 524 to 776 of the family's 1533-position model. The record is from RNAcentral.
UACGUAGGCGCGAGCGUUGUUCGGAGUUACUGGGCGUAAAGGGUGUGUAGGCGGUUCUUUAAGUUUGGUGUGAAAUCUCCCGCUUAACCGGGAGGGUGCGCCGAAUACUGAGGGACUAGAGUACGGGAGAGGAAAGUGGAAUUCCUGGUGUAGCGGUGAAAUGCGUAGAUAUCAGGAGGAACACCGGUGGCGAAGGCGGGUCUCUGGGCCGUAACUGACGCUGAGGAGCGAAAGCGUGGGUAGCAAACAGG